Equus caballus (horse) is the source of this 5846-nucleotide long non-coding RNA. Lineage: Eukaryota; Metazoa; Chordata; Mammalia; Perissodactyla; Equidae. The record is from Ensembl.
GGGGCAUGUCACUUGGUUUUUCUCAUCUAGCAGAUGAAAUUUUUGUGGUCUGCAUACCUGAUGACCCCCAGAACCACACGGGGGCUUCUAAAAAAUAUCGAUCCCGGGGUCUGGCUCUUGGAGGUUCUGCGUGAUCCUAGCACAGGGUCCAGGAAAGCGCACGAUGAACAAGGCCCCCAGCUGAUUCUGCACAGGCAGUCCUUGCACCAGGGGCCUUCGAAGGUCUUGCCAACUCUAACUUGAAGCGGUUUUGUCAAUACCUGUGAUAGCUUGUCUUACCUAGACCACGAAGAGCUAAUGUAUACUUGAUGACCCACCUUCAGGCUGGGGCUACAACAGAUGGAGUGUUGUCAUCUGCCUUAGACUGAACAGAACUCCCCAAACCAGGAACCACAGAGCCCAAAACUUUCCCACCGAUUAACUGCACCAGCUGUGGUUCAGACACCCUCUCCCAUCCUCAUUAGGAACAGGUCUAUGCCACACGAGCCGCUUUAUAAACACCACCCCCCACCACCUGGGAAUCCCGCGAUCCCUGCAAUUUGUUCCACACACAGUGGGGUGUGCGUGUGUGUGAUGUGUUUAGGAGCAGACAAGGUUUGCGGCUUGUCCAGCUUCAGCCCAAUAGAACUCAGGUCUCCCCCUCCAGCUGAUGGGGAGCAGGACUUUAGCGUACACAUCGUGUUCCUUUGAUUUCGUAGUGUAAUCGUUAACCUGUGCAGUGUUUAUUACAGUGUGUUUCAGGCCCAUCUGUGUCAGAAUCACCUGCGGAGCUUGUAAAAACAUGCACAAUGCACUGACGGUCCUGUUCUGCGGUCAGAGGCCAGUGAAUGGAGGCUAGUUUGAAGCUUAGCUUUCUGAUCAUUUUAACUAGGGCUCCUUCCAAACCAGAUGAACAGCCCUCGCUGACUACGGAACUUAUUGCUGCUGAAACUUGUUCGGUUUGGUCGAUCUGCCGUAUUCCUCAAACUUCAUCGUGCUUGUGAAUCUCUUGGGGGUCUUGUUAAAAUGAAGCUUCUAACUCGUUGGGUCUGGGGUGGGGCCUGAGACUCUGCACCUCUGACAGGCUUCCGUGUGAUGCUGACCGUGCCGGUCCAGGGACCGUACUUUGAGUAGCUCUGUUGAACAGGUAGAUGUCUGCCUCUGACUAGGGGGCCCUCCCUCCCGGCUGAAGGUUCAUCAGUAGAGCUAAGACCUGCCCGAGGCUGAAUUCCUCUUUUGUGGGUGAAGGAAGCCUGAGACCCCUGGGAGGGAGGCUAGCUCUGUCCCCACCCACCUGCACCUGUGAUGGAGGAAGGCAGCCAAUUACGUCCCGAGCCGAAAGGCCUAUUGAUCUGGUGCAGUGGGGACAGUAUCUGAUUGACACAGCUGGGGGGAGCCUCGGGAGAGUGGAGACCUCCUUUGCUUAGUUUAUUUUGUAAUUAAGGGGAAAAGAGCCCAAGCUAAAACGUUGCUUGAGGGUCCCGGCUUUUACGUUCAUGUCACUGAGCAGCCUAUGAAUCAAGUCACCGGCCGUGAAGCUGUCAGUCCUGACAGUGGUUCUCUUUCUCGGUGGCUUUAUGCAGAUACUUUCAGUUCUCCGAGUAUUAAGCGUAAUGGGGACGCCAGGCCCAGUCUGUCCUUCGAGAUGCGCUCCGUUGGCUAUGCCCUUGUGUCCGAGGAUGGAAGGCCUCCUGCUUCAUCUCCUCAGCCUGGGAAGCGGAGGUGGCAUCAGUUAUUUCAGAGGCCUGUUGGAAGGGAAGGGACUUGCAAGUUCUUGUACAUGUGAAGACUGUCAGUGGAGGGAAAAACCUGUGCGCUUUGUUGCAGCAGACCCGAGCUUGAGGAGACUUUCCAGAUGAACUUGGCUGGGGACCCCAGGCCUAGCAAAGCCUCCUCGUCACCCAGGGCUCAGCGUGAAUGCCUUGCCUCAGGGUCCCCUCUCAGAUGGCUCCGGAGGAAGGAAUCCGGGCCACGGCCUGUGCUCACAUGGCCCCUGUACCAUUCCUCUCUGUGUAGUGUUGGUGUGACCUCAGCUUGCAGAGGGGUGGGCCUGGGUCCGUUGUGGUUCCCAGGAGCGCCCAGCGUCGGGUGGGUGCUUGGUACAUCGUGAGCCCUCAAUACAUACUCGAAGGGAUGUGCGUGCUACAGGCAGGCAAAUGCUUUUUAUGAAAUUUAACGGGCAUUGCUCCAAAGAUAAAGGAAGAGGAAACUUUAAAAAAUUAUUGAGUUGAUUCAUAAAGAACUUUCUGCUCUUACUAGCAGAACAAGCUAUCAAGGACAAAAUGACAAUCUUAUAUAUUUAUUUCAAUUCUCUUGAUGGAUAGGGUUCCAGACUUUGUAGACACAUUGUCCUCACAUCCACUAAGUUAAUCAUAUGCAUGUGACCAAGACUGCUAGAUAGUUCUCUAAUAACAUUCUCUCCUUAUCCCUUAGCAAUAGGAUGUCUAGUUUUUAGCUGGACAGUUGGCCACCUAGAAUUAAAAGGCUACAUUUCCCAGUCUCCCUUGCAGCUAGGCAUGGUCAUGUGAUAGAUGUAAAUGGAGCCAUGUGCCAUUUCCAGGAACCAUCAUAUUAUUAUCUUUCUACAUUUUGCUGAUGGAGCAUGGAUGUGAUGACUGGAGUUCAGCAGCCAUCUUGGGCAGUGAGGAGGGUAGAGCAGCAAGGUAGGGGGACCCCGAGUACUUUUCCGAAGCUGCCCUACCAGUCCUGUACUGCUCACCUCUGGACUUCAUUUGUGUGAGGUAAGCCACUGUUAUUUUGGAUUUGAUAUCUCAGCUGAACUGAAUCCUACCUAUUUUAGGAAUAGGAGAAUUGUAAUUCUUAGGACCUUUUUAAGGCCAGUCUUGGAGAACAUGCUGUGGUUCAAGUUAUAGGUGAAGGUGUGUUUGUGACAAGGUUUUGGAUAAAGUAAUUGAGUGUGAGAGUUAAGAGGAUGGACUUGGAAGUGGGCUGGCUCUUAGUUGCCAUGAGUCCUUGGACAAUCUCCUUAAGCUCUUUAAGCUUCCAUCCCUGUCUAUAAAAUGAGGAUGACAACGUAGUGCCUGAUUCCUGCUGUUCCUCUCCUUGCUGCUCUGAGUUAUCGAACCUCCACAUGGCUGAUUCUCUAAGGGCCUUAUGAUAUACUGGAGCCUUCUCUAAGUCAGCUUUCUGUCCAAAGCAAUUUCAGUAAAAUUUCUCUUUUCUUUUAGAAAUCAACGAAAUCAAAUAACCCUACAAAUAUACCUAGUUAAAACGUAUAAACUUGUUAGUUCCUUUAUGUGGUUUUAAAGUCCAAUUACGGAGCAUUUGCUUUACCAUCUUAACGGCGAUUCAUUUAGCCUUCUUAAUUGGGCACCCACCAAGGACCAGGCGUUUUGCUAAGUCCUGGGAACAAAAUAAUGGUCACACGUAAUUGUGCCGUUACAGAAUUGAUAGCAAUUGUGUGCAUGCCUUUCUGUUUACAAAGCAGUUUUAUGAUGUGCCAAUAGUAUGCUCUUAGGGGACGGGAGCUUGCAGAUUGUGGUGCUGAGAUUCUAUUGCUCGGUCUCAUUUACAUGAGCAGAGCUAAGCUGAUUCAGAGUUAGCAGGGGCAUCAGGUGUGUAAUCCAGACAUUGACUGCUUCCUCCUCGGAGCUCUGGCGAAGCUUGAUCUGGACUCUUACUAUCUGCCCUAGAGUUCUAAAACCUGGACCUUCCUUUCUCCUGGCUUUCCUGUUUCCAUUUUCCAAGAGCGCCUCUUUGGUUUACAUGUGAGUUUGUUUAGUCUUUCCAGUUCAAUUGUAAGGAAUUUGAAAGCAGGAACUUGGAUGACUUCAAGGAUUUGCUCACAGUUCUCAGGCCAGUGUGGUACCUGCAGGCUCUCCAGAGCCGGAUGGCCCGUGGGGGCAGCGAGCGUCUCAGAGCUCGUGACUUCCCUCCCUGCCACGGAGACUGACACCUGCAGGUCUUUCAAGCAAGGGGAGGGACAGCUUUGCUAACCUAGAAGACCAGUAGACGCAUCUCUUCGUGGUGUGGGAGCCUAGGAACCUUGGCUGCAUAUGAAGAGGGGACUUCAGUGACACAGAAGAGUGACAAUUUGCUCCAAGGGACUUUCUGGGUCGGCCUUUGGAGUGGCAGUGAGGAAUGGAAGCGUAGAGGUCAUGUAUAUUUGUGUCUUUAUCUGGUUUGGCCUGCAAAGAGCUUUUUGUAAAAUUUCAAACAAGUUGCCAACAUUUAAAUCAGGAAAUUCCACAAGGAAAUCGAUUGCAGCCUCUCUAGCAAAAAUCUCUAUAUCUGAGAACGCCAGGCUGACAUUCCCACAUCCGCCAUCGUCUGAAGCUGUUAGCAGCUUCCCCCAGCCAGAGAGCGUGAGAUUUGCUCUUCCACAGCCCCCACGUGCCCAUUGCUUCCCUUCACCUGCCUGGUCCAUGUGGGCAGGGUUGAUAGACGCUGACGGGGGUCUGCUCUGAACCCAUUGGCACCCAGGUAGUACCAGUUAUGAAAUAUUUUGAAUAUCCUUCCUGCCUGGAGCCAUCUGAGUUGCUAACCCUGCUCUGCAGAGAAGCAGCUGUCAGCUUCUUGCUAAAAAAAAAUUUAAAUUCUGACUCCAGGGUCACUCUGUUACACUGAUUAAUCUGUUAAAUUGUCAGUAUUCUCCACCAUUUCAUUUAUUGGGAGCAGAGCUUCUAGAGGAGUCUAAGAGGCAUUCAGAACGUCUAGCUGUGUGCUGAUGGAGUGGGUGCCCUAGGAAGCCAAUUUGCAUGAGGGCUGAGGCCCUCCCUGGGGGACAAUUCAUCCUGAUGAAAUGAGGAGCCAGGUAUGGAGAACUCACCCUGUUAGAGAAAGCUCAGUUGUCAGAUAACGGCGUGAAGUCUGAUGUCUUGAUUUCUCUCUGCAUCCGGCCCACACUGGCUCCUCUCUGUGUGUUUGGAGAGCAGAGCAAGAAGUCAAAAGGGAACAGUGUUUCUCUGCACACUGUCGGGUAUCCCUCUAACAGAAUCAAACAUAAAGGGGAUAAAGAGACAUUCUCCCAUCGCUUCCCCACUGGCACUUGUGACACUCUGAACAACCCCUGUACUUUAUUGGCAGGGCCUGGCAGACACUUCGGUGCUCUGUGGGAGAAGACAUGUGGGCCCCUGCUGGUGGUCUGGGGUCCUAACUAAUCACCCUCAAACCUUUCCAGGUCCUUAACCUGCUGUGAGCAGACAUAAGGAGCCAAAUGGAUUCAAAUUCAGAAAUGGAGAGUAUGGCAGGGUGGUUAUAUUGUCUGUAAUUUUCUUAAAAUAUUUCAGCAUAGAUAGUGAUGUAUGUAUGUUAGAUUCAAUAUAUACCCUAGGAGCUGUUGGUUAAAAUUUCAAUUAUUCUUAGUCUGGCUACUUAUUGCUGCAUAACCCACCCCAAAAUUUAGUGGGUUAGAAAAGAGUAUAUCAUUAUUUCUCAUGCUUCUGUGGUUUCUCAUGGCUCCGCUGGGCAGUUCUCACUUGGUUGCAGCCUGAUGGCAGCUGGAGCCGGAGGCAUCUGGAGCAUCAUCUGGGCUGGAUGUCCGAGAUGGCUUCUUAUGUGGCUGGCACAUGGGCUGGGACGGCUGGAACGGCUGGGACUAGCUGGGCAUCUCUUUCUCCAUGUGGCCUCUCCACGUGGCUAGCUUGGGCUUCCUCAAGGAAUGGCGAUCUCAAGGUAGCUAGACUUCCAAGAGAGCAUUCCAAGAGACCCAUGGCAAAGCUGCAAGGGUUCUUACCACCUAGCCUUGGAAGUCAUGCUCCAUCACUUCUCCUGUCACCAAUUGCUGGCUGUGAUGGUUAAUCUUAUGUGUCAACUUGGCUAGGUCACAGUACCCAGAUAUUUGGUUAAAUAUUAUUCUGGAUGUUUCUGUGAAGGUAUUUUUUGGAUGAUUUUAACAUUUAAAUCAG